GUGAAUUUAUUGAUACUUCUCUUCCAUUAACUCUUGAGCCUAAUGUUAAACCUCACAAAGGUCGUCCAAUGGGUUCUAAAAAUAGAAAAGAAUCAAGCUCUACACAGCGUGGUCCUUCAAAGUUUGAAAUAGUGGAGAAGGCUCAGAAACGUGCUCGACGGGUGUGAUGAGCAUAAUGAUUUGCCAAAGAAACUUUUUGUUAAUAAUAGCUUAGAUGUGUAAAGAACACAUUAAGGUUGGAGUGCAUGGGUUUCAUAUCUUUUUGGUAAUAUUGACAUCUCCUUUUGAACACAAGAUUAAAGGCCAAACAUAGUGUAGGCAGAAUGUGAAAGCUUGUAAUGAUAUCUGAUGUAUUUUUUGGGGCAUGAGGCUACUAUUAUGGGGAUUAAAGUGUAUGUGGAUUGCUUACUAGUAUUUUGUACAAUUCAUGUAACUUAUGCAUAUAUGCUAUAUCAUUAGGUAAUCGUUUUAUUUUUAUUUA
This is a long non-coding RNA of Malus domestica (apple), 481 nucleotides long. RefSeq lists it as uncharacterized. NCBI's taxonomy places the organism in Eukaryota, Viridiplantae, Streptophyta, Magnoliopsida, Rosales, Rosaceae. The record is from RefSeq and is a predicted model, not a curated record.